This is a long non-coding RNA of Vigna angularis (adzuki bean), 1446 nucleotides long. RefSeq lists it as uncharacterized. Lineage: Eukaryota; Viridiplantae; Streptophyta; Magnoliopsida; Fabales; Fabaceae. The transcript is spliced from 3 exons. The record is from RefSeq and is a predicted model, not a curated record.
GCAAAAUAAUUGUUUUUUUCCCCUAAUUUGGCCUUCCGCGCGCACAUUUUCUUCUUCCUAAUUUCUCUAAUCUCAUAUACACUUUGGCACGCCUCUUCCUCAUGGUUCACCGCAAAGCUGUUGUUUGACACCGUUCUUUGUCGUUCACUACACUGGCCUGAGUUCUCAUCGUCCGACUGAGUCGCGUCCUUCGCCUGAGUCGCGUCCAUCGUCUGACUCUUCAUUCAUUGUCCGCCAUUGUUGCAUGAGCUUCGUCCGUCACAGUUAAGUUCUCUCCUUCUGCAAUUCCUAAUUCUCUCGUCCUCUUAGCCUCAUCUAAAUUCUCUUUUCCAUCGUCCUAUACUCUUUCCAAAACCCUAGAAAUUGGGAAACCUCAUUCCAUGCAAAUUUAGUGGUUAUAAUAUCAUGUAAAUCGUUAUGGUUAAAUUGAUUGAUUUUUGUGUUAUAUUGAGCAUGUUGUGAUGUAUGGUCUUGGUUGGAAUGCAUAUAUGUUUUAGAGUUCUUGUUUUUCUUUCUAUGUUAGGUAUGUUAGGUACUGGGAACGUAAGCUCGUGUUGAAUCGCGAUUUCUAUAAUCCUGAUUCAAGAGAAAGACAUCAGGAAGUCCAGUUUUGAAAAACAUUGAUUUCAGAGCAGAGCCAACAGAGAGAGAAUUAGAAGCGUGAAACAGAAAUAUAAGUUCAAGAAGUUUGAUAUUUUGGUACAAAAUUUAGAAGCAUACACGAUUAAAGACCGGAGAUUCACGUCUUGAGGUUCGUGAGCGUGUGUAAUAUAUCAGAGAUAAGCUUUUAGAGCUUCACGAGCUUCUUUUCUUUCUGGGGGAAAAUUGACCAGACUUCUAAGCGCCACAUGUCUAGGGAGAAGACAGAUAUAAUUUUGAAAGUAGUUGUAAAGCAUUUCUUAAUUGAGAAAGAGGUCACUUCUACUUUGGUAAUGGACUCCUUGCAUAGUGGAUUGAAGGCUCUUGAAGGCCAGACUAAAAACCAAAAAGCUAAAGUGAAAUGGCUGGAUGCUGAAGAAAUACCAGCACCAAUUGUUCAUGUUGAGAAAGACAUGUUUGUACUGGUGGAUUAUGUUUUACUGCUACUUGAAAGGGCUGCAAUAGAACCAUUGCCUCCUAAAGAUGAAAAGUGCCCUCAAAACCGAACAAAGGUAAGAUGUAGAAUUAUGUUUGUAAUAGUGACCGUGGAAUUUUGUGUUGAUGCCUGAUCUGAUAACUGGUGACAUGGUUGAGCACUGAUCUCUAUGAAAUGUGAUGGUAUUGGGCUGAGGUUUUUAGAAGAUGUAGUUGACAAAUAAGAGCAUAACAGAAUAUGUUUGAAUGGGGUCUAGACUAGGGAGAAAAGAAAAUUGAAACUCUGCUAUUAUAUUCUGAAUAGCAUUAUAUUUAGGAUUGAUUUUCGCUCAAGUACUACUACUACAUCAGCUGGUCAUCUGAACUAUUAAC